This 460-nucleotide ribosomal RNA is filed under the name uncultured bacterium. Its description in RNAcentral is "partial 16S ribosomal RNA". It matches the Rfam family "Bacterial small subunit ribosomal RNA", at positions 338 to 795 of the family's 1533-position model. The record is from RNAcentral.
CCUACGGGUGACAGCAGUGAGGAAUAUUGGUCAAUGGGCGCGAGCCUGAACCAGCCACGUAGCGUGAAGGAUGACUGCCCUACGGGUUGUAAACUUCUUUUAUAAAGGAAUAAAGUGAGGCACGUGUGCCUUUUUGUAUGUACUUUAUGAAUAAGGAUCGGCUAACUCCGUGCCAGCAGCCGCGGUAAUACGGAGGGUCCGAGCGUUAUCCGGAUUUAUUGGGUUUAAAGGGAGCGUAGAUGGGUUGUUAAGUCAGUUGUGAAAGUUUGCGGCUCAACCGUAAAAGUGCAAUUGAUACUGGCAGACUUGAGUACAGGAGAGGUAGGCGGAAUGCGGGGUGUAGCGGUGAAAUGCAUAGAUAUCACGAAGAACUCCGAGUGCGAAGGCAGCUUACUAAACUGCCACUGACAUUGAUGCUCGAAAGUGUGGGUAUCAAACAGGAUUAGAUACCCGGGUAGUC